RNAcentral lists this ribosomal RNA (442 nucleotides) under uncultured bacterium. RNAcentral describes it as "partial 16S ribosomal RNA". It matches the Rfam family "Bacterial small subunit ribosomal RNA", at positions 338 to 795 of the family's 1533-position model. The record is from RNAcentral.
CCUACGGGAGGCAGCAGUAGGGAAUCUUUCACAAUGGGCGAAAGCCUGAUGGAGCAACGCCGCGUGCAGGAUGAAGGCCUUCGGGUUGUAAACUGCUUUUAUAAGCGAGAGAUAUGAUGGUAACUUAUGAAUAAGGAUCGGCUAACUACGUGCCAGCAGCCGCGGUCAUACGUAGGAUCCGAGCAUUAUCAGGAGUGACUGGGUGUAAAGAGUUGCGUAGGUGGCAUAAUAAGUAGCUAGUGAAAUCUGGUGGCUCAACCAUUCAGACUAUUAGCUAAACUGUUAAGCUCGAGACCGUUAGGGGUAACUGGAAUUUCUAGGGUAGGAGUGAAAUCCGUAGAUAUUAGAAGGAACACCAAUAGCGUAGGCAGGUUGCUGGGACGGUUCUGACACUAAGGCACGAAAGCGUAGGGAGCAAACAGGAUUAGAUACCCCAGUAGUC